AUGCCUCCUGGGGCAAAGUCAGGGAGACACGUUCCCAGAACUUACCUUCCAGGUAGUCAGCGCGGUUGGUCUCCGUUUUCCAGACCAUCAAACUUCAUAGUCUGUGUCGCUUUCUGGGAAAAUGUCCAUGCGCUGACCUGCAAACCAGCCCCAUCCGAGGGGACGCGGGUGCCUCAGACCACCCCUCCCCCACACGGCUUUGGCCCUUCCUCUCUGUCUCACCUGUUUUCAGUCUUGCCCGCAGAUGCAGGUGUCCAGUGGCUGCCUAGGCGGGGACGUGUGCUUUUAUGGGCUUCAGGGAAGGCGGGGCACCGGGAACCUUGGGAGGGUCUUUGCCAGCCUGCCAAUGGGACUCCGCCUCGAAUGCAACUCCAAAGAUUACCUCAUAGGCUGUGGCCUCGGCUUCAGAAUAAAAGUCUGGCAUCUGCCCAAAACCUGGGUUAGGGGUUUUCUGGAGGGGGAAGGGGUACUCAUUGUGUUCCCCUGGGUCUUCCCACUGGCUCCAACCUCUGCCUAGGUCUCUGAGCUCUGUGUCAGUUGGUAACUGCUUCUUCCAAAGCCCCAGCUUGCGCUCUUGCUGGAUCAGGAGAGAGAAAGCUAGUAAACCAUGCGGGUGGAGGGGGAGAACAGCAGGGUUCAGGAUAUUUAAGUCCAAUUGCAGAUAGGGAAACUGAGGUCCUUGGGACUGGAAGGCUCUGGGAAGGGCUGGGGCCAAGGUGAGACUCAAGCCAAGAUUUUUUGAUUCCUUGACUUAAAACCCAGCUCAUACUUAGUUUAUUGUUUUACUUUACUCAGGCAGGCUCUGAGCCAAAAACCAUACAAACUUGGGUCAUAUUCAGAUUUUCCUCCUCCUCGCUGUGGGUCUUUGGGUAUAAUCAAAUGUCUUUGCUUUAGUUUCCUCAACUGUGAAAUGGCGAUGACGGUAGGAGCUUCUCAGAAUGCUGUGAUGAGGAAUUAAUGCUAUGGUGUGAGUUACAUGUUGGAAAUAAAUAAUCAGGACUGAGACUAGGGUGAGGGAGG
RNAcentral lists this long non-coding RNA (1020 nucleotides) under Sus scrofa (pig). Its description in RNAcentral is "lncRNA (ENSSSCG00070026207.1)". Lineage: Eukaryota; Metazoa; Chordata; Mammalia; Artiodactyla; Suidae. The record is from RNAcentral.